GUGCUUGCUUUGGCAGUACAAAUACUAAAAUUAAAAUGAUACAGAGAAGAUUAGCAUGCUCCUUGAUCAAAGAUGACAUGCAGAUUAAUGAAGCAUUACAUAUUUUU
Small nuclear RNA from Sorex fumeus (smoky shrew), 107 nucleotides. Lineage: Eukaryota; Metazoa; Chordata; Mammalia; Eulipotyphla; Soricidae. The record is from RefSeq and is a predicted model, not a curated record.